Molecule: non-coding RNA, 332 nt
Organism: Vicugna pacos (alpaca)
Lineage: Eukaryota; Metazoa; Chordata; Mammalia; Artiodactyla; Camelidae
Source: RefSeq, a predicted model, not a curated record
AUGCAAAAAAAAAAAACCCUUUUGAAUGGAUUAAAGAUGCUUGGAGGAGUAGGGAAGAAUAGGUGAAGAAUCUGAAUGCUUUCAUGGCCAUCAGACUGAUUUUAACCUGGGUAGACUGUAUUCAGUUGUGAAAGAAUAAAAAAAGAAAACAGUGACAUCCUGGAAAUACAUUAUCAUGCAUCAUAUCUCAAAGGAUCUUUCGCGUGGUAGAUCCUCAUGGAAUAGCAGAUAAAGGAUUUUGUGCAUCGAUGCCCUGCAUAGUGAACUAGUUGACUGUGACCUGAGGAUGAAAUCUUUUGGGUUAUUCAGAGAGUUCUGUACAGAGUGCACAU